UUGAAACAUCAGUUCCUGUACGAUCACAAAAGUUAAGCAACGUCAAGCCUGGUCUGUACCUAGAUGGGUGACCGCUUGGGAAUACAAGGUGCUGUAAG
This is a non-coding RNA of Acanthosepion pharaonis, 98 nucleotides long. The record is from the annotation of a GenBank genome assembly. NCBI's taxonomy places the organism in Eukaryota, Metazoa, Mollusca, Cephalopoda, Sepiida, Sepiidae.